RNAcentral lists this small RNA (649 nucleotides) under Pan troglodytes (chimpanzee). RNAcentral describes it as "processed transcript". The record is from RNAcentral. Lineage: Eukaryota; Metazoa; Chordata; Mammalia; Primates; Hominidae.
CGCGGUUCUGUCUGGGAAGGAGAGAAAAUGGCGGCGGAGCCGAACAAGACCGAAAUCCAGACUCUUUUUAAGAGGCUUCGCGCAGUUCCAACCAACAAGGCCUGUUUCGACUGCGGCGCCAAGAAUCCGAGUUGGGCCAGCAUCACGUACGGUGUUUUCUUGUGCAUUGACUGUUCCGGGGUGCACCGCUCCCUGGGCGUCCAUCUGAGCUUCAUCAGGUCCACAGAGUUGGAUUCCAACUGGAACUGGUUCCAGCUGAGGUGUAUGCAGGUCGGCGGGAAUGCCAAUGCGACGGCUUUUUUUCGCCAACAUGGAUGCACAGCCAAUGAUGCCAACACCAAAUAUAAUAGCCGAGCUGCCCAGAUGUACCGGGAGAAGAUCCGGCAGCUGGGGAGUGCGGCCCUGGCUAGGCAUGGCACUGAUCUUUGGAUAGACAACAUGAGUAGUGCCGUUCCUAAUCACUCCCCAGAGAAGAAGGACUCUGAUUUCUUCACAGAACACACUCAAAACUGAAAAGCUCCAUCAUUGGCAAGAAGAAGCCAGCAGCAGCUAAGAAAGGGCUGGGUGCCAAGAAAGGCCUAGGGGCCCAGAAGGUGAGCAGCCAGAGCUUCAGUGAGAUUGAGCGGCAGGCUCAGGUGGCAGAGAAGCU